GACGAACCGAGCGAACGUUAUUCGGAAUCACUGGGCUUAAAGGGCGCGUAGGCGGACCGUCAAGUCAGGGGUGAAAGCCCGCGGCUCAACCGCGGAAGUGCCUUUGAUACUGGCGGUCUCGAGGGAGGUAGGGGCGUGCGGAACUUCCGGUGGAGCGGUGAAAUGCGUAGAUAUCGGAAGGAACACCGGUGGCGAAAGCGGCGCGCUGGACCUCUUCUGACGCUGAGGCGCGAAAGCCAGGGGAGCGAACGGG
Molecule: ribosomal RNA, 253 nt
Filed under: uncultured bacterium
Lineage: Bacteria
Description: partial 16S ribosomal RNA
Rfam family: Bacterial small subunit ribosomal RNA
Source: RNAcentral